Aliiglaciecola lipolytica E3 is the source of this 109-nucleotide regulatory RNA element. It matches the Rfam family "Ribosomal S15 leader". From Rfam's summary of the family: The E. coli Ribosomal S15 gene 5' UTR can form two alternative structures. The record is from Rfam. Lineage: Bacteria; Pseudomonadati; Pseudomonadota; Gammaproteobacteria; Alteromonadales; Alteromonadaceae.
UGGCUCGGCUGAAUUAGUGAUCGGCGAGUCUUCAUUUAAUUUGGAGAAAAUUAUGUCACUAACUACUCAAGAAACUGCACAAAUCAUUUCCGACUUCGGCGUUAAAGAA